CGUGGGGGCCAAGCGUUGUCCGGAUUUAUUGGGCGUAAAGAGCUCGUAGGCGGUUCGGUAAGUCAGCUGUGAAAUCUCCACGCUCAACGUGGAGGGGUCAGCUGAUACUGCCGUGACUUGAGUCUGGUAGGGGAGUGCGGAAUUCCCGGUGUAGCGGUGAAAUGCGCAGAUAUCGGGAGGAACACCAGUGGCGAAGGCGGCACUCUGGGCCAGUACUGACGCUGAGGAGCGAAAGCGUGGGGAGCGAACAGGAUUAGAUACCCUGGUAGUCCACGCCGUAAACGUUGGGCACUAGGUGUGGGACUCUAUCGACGGGUUCCGUGCCGUAGCUAACGCAUUAAGUGCCCCGCCUGGGGAGUACGGCCGCAAGGCUA
This 374-nucleotide ribosomal RNA is filed under the name uncultured organism. RNAcentral's name for it is "bacterial SSU rRNA". It matches the Rfam family "Bacterial small subunit ribosomal RNA", at positions 526 to 896 of the family's 1533-position model. The record is from RNAcentral.